GUGGGGAAUUUUGGACAAUGGGCGCAAGCCUGAUCCAGCAAUGCCGCGUGUGUGAAGAAGGCCUUCGGGUUGUAAAGCACUUUUGGCAGGAAAGAAAUAGCGCGUGCUAAUACCAUGCGCGAAUGACGGUACCUGCAGAAUAAGCACCGGCUAACUACGUGCCAGCAGCCGCGGUAAGACGUAGGGUGCAAGCGUUAAUCGGAAUUACUGGGCGUAAAGCGUGCGCAGGCGGUUUUGUAAGACAGGUGUGAAAUCCCCGGGCUAAACCUGGGAACUGCACUUGUGACUGCAAGGCUAGAGUGUGUCAGAGGGAGGUGGAAUUCCGCGUGUAGCAGUGAAAUGCGUAGAGAUGCGGAGGAACACCGAUGGCGAAGGCAGCCUCCUGGGAUAACACUGACGCUCAGGCACGAAAGCGUGGGGAGCAAACAGGAUUAGAUACCCGGGUAGUCC
This 450-nucleotide ribosomal RNA is filed under the name uncultured bacterium. RNAcentral describes it as "partial 16S ribosomal RNA". It matches the Rfam family "Bacterial small subunit ribosomal RNA", at positions 354 to 796 of the family's 1533-position model. The record is from RNAcentral.